AACGAACGCUGGCGGCAUGCCUAACACAUGCAAGUCGAACGAGACCUUCGGGUCUAGUGGCGAACGGGUGCGUAACGCGUGGGAACCUGCCCUUAGGUUCGGAAUAACUCCCCGAAAGGGGUGCUAAUACCGGAUAAUGUCUUCGGACCAAAGAUUUAUCGCCUUUGGAUGGGCCCGCGUUGGAUUAGCUAGUUGGUAGGGUAAAAGCCUACCAAGGCGACGAUCCAUAGCUGGUCUGAGAGGAUGAUCAGCCACACUGGGACUGAGACACGGCCCAGACUCCUACGGGAGGCAGCAGUGGGGGAUAUUGGACAAUGGGCGAAAGCCUGAUCCAGCAAUGCCGCGUGAGUGAUGAAGGCCUUAGGGUUGUAAAGCUCUUUUACCCGGGAUGAUAAUGACAGUACCGGGAGAAUAAGCUCCGGCUAACUCCGUG
RNAcentral lists this ribosomal RNA (433 nucleotides) under uncultured bacterium. Its description in RNAcentral is "partial 16S ribosomal RNA". It matches the Rfam family "Bacterial small subunit ribosomal RNA", at positions 29 to 507 of the family's 1533-position model. The record is from RNAcentral.